GAUCCAUUAGCUCAGUUGGCUAGCAGCGUUCGACUGUUAAUCUUGCGCAUACAACUGUAUUCCAAGCGACAUCGAGAGGUCGCUGGUUCGAGCCCAGCAUGGAUCG
Transfer RNA from Tilletiaria anomala, 106 nucleotides. It matches the Rfam family "tRNA". From Rfam's summary of the family: Transfer RNA (tRNA) molecules are approximately 80 nucleotides in length. Their secondary structure includes four short double-helical elements and three loops (D, anti-codon, and T loops). NCBI's taxonomy places the organism in Eukaryota, Fungi, Basidiomycota, Exobasidiomycetes, Georgefischeriales, Tilletiariaceae. The record is from Rfam.